This 1167-nucleotide long non-coding RNA is filed under the name Nicotiana benthamiana. RNAcentral describes it as "long non-coding RNA (NBEN_LNC023580)". Lineage: Eukaryota; Viridiplantae; Streptophyta; Magnoliopsida; Solanales; Solanaceae. The record is from RNAcentral.
AAAUAUUUACGGUUAACAAUGGGAAGGGGAAAGCAUGCAGCGGGGAGUAUCAGGUAACAACUGGAUGCUAAAAAAAAGGAAUGUGAAGAAGCCAAAAUUCAAUUGGUAACAAGGAUAAGGAAAACAAACACAGUAUUUACUUUCAUUUCUUGUUGCAGGCGUGCUACUCGCUCCCAUUUCAUAUAUCCUGUUGCGGCGUGCAGCCCGCUCCCAUUUCAUAUAUCUCAUUGCAGGUGUACAACCCGCUCCCAUUUCAUAUAUCUUGUUGCAAGCGUGCAAUCCGCUCACAUUUCAUAUAUCUCGUUGCAGGCGUGCAACCUGCUCCCAUUUCAUAUAUUUCCGUAGUGGCGUGACACUCGAUCCCAUUUACAGAUCAACAUCAAUCACAAAUGAAUUCCGGCAAGUGAACAAGAUAUAACAACAACAAUCUCGGAAAGGGAAAGAAUAUCGUAAACAAUAAAAUUCCAGCAAGGGAGACAAUGUCGUAACAAUAAUAUCCCGGCAAGAGAGAAAACAUCACAAAUAAUAACAUCCCGGCAAGGGAAACAACAAUGAUAAUCAAUAUAUUAAGCAUGAAUAAAUCUCAACGGAGUCACAACAAUUACAACACUAGACCCACAGAUAUGCUUGACACUGACGUAUAGAGCCACUGGAGGAGACUCUCAAGGAGCUUCUGGACAACCAGAAGAAGCUCUUAGAGAACCAAGAGUUGACAUUGGAGGCUGUAGAUACUCAUGGGAAAGCAUUGAAGCAACUGACAAAGAAAACAAAGAAGUUGAGAAAGACUCGAGCAUCAAAGGAGUCUGUAAAGGAGUUGAGGGUAGAAUUAGAGAAGAUAAAGGUUACUAAUCACUUGCCAUUGGAGCUGCUAUUUUAUAAUCUGAUUCCAGGAGCCCAGACUGAGCUAGAGUAGGAGUUAGACACGACGCCAAAGAGGAGGAGGGUGAUCCCCCGAGCUGAUGAUGCAGUGAUUGUUGGAGGACCCGCGGGAGGUUCCUCUAGCCAUCCUCAGGUCUCAUAGCAGCCACAGGUCCCAGUGCAGGCACAGGUUACAGGGGUCGAGUCAUAGGUUCUCGAACAGUCCCAGGACCCAGAGACCAAGGCUCAUGAUCCCAUGCAGACCCAUGACCAAUAGGGAGUUUUCUUUGCUCUCUAUCUUUUCUUGAG